GAAAUGCGAUAAGUAGUGUGAAUUACAGAAUUCAGUGAAUCAUCGAAUCUUUGAACGCACAUUGCGCCCUUUGGUAUUCCUUAGGGCAUGCCUGUUCGAGCGUCAUCUAAACCUUCAAGCCAUGCUUGGUGUUGGGUGCCUGUCCCGCCUCCGCGCGCGGACUCACCUCAAAUCCAUUGGCGGCCCCCGCGUCGGCCACGAGCGCAGCAGAAACGCGAACUCGUGAGCCCGUCCGGGCGGCUCCCAGAAGCUACACCCACCCAGUUUGACCUCGGAUCAGGUAGGGAUACCCGCUGAACUUAAGC
RNAcentral lists this unclassified non-coding RNA (305 nucleotides) under plant metagenome. Its description in RNAcentral is "partial contains 5.8S ribosomal RNA, internal transcribed spacer 2, and large subunit ribosomal RNA". The stretch from base 1 to 105 matches the Rfam family "5.8S ribosomal RNA", at positions 50 to 154 of the family's 154-position model. The record is from RNAcentral.